Molecule: non-coding RNA, 299 nt
Organism: Caenorhabditis elegans
Lineage: Eukaryota; Metazoa; Nematoda; Chromadorea; Rhabditida; Rhabditidae
Source: Ensembl
AAGCAAAUGAAUGAGAAAGAAAAAGCCUAUAUGGUGCUACAGUAACCGAAUGAAAUUUUUGAUGGGAUGUGAAUAUUUGGGAGACAAUACUGUACUGUACAUAGAGAGAGACCAAAAUAAUCGAAACUUAAAUGGGAUGGAGAAAAAAAUGAAAUUCAAAGACCCGCUGUUUAUAUCAUAUUUUCUCGAUUUCAGAGUUCUUAGUGGAGGAGGUGAAACUUUGAGAGAGUACAAUAUUCAUUUAAAAAAAUUAAACUUAAUAAGCUGGGGUUUCUACUCUUGGUGGGACCGUGGAGACG